GGAAACGACUGCUCAUCCCGGAUGAGCCUGCGGGUAAAAGAUUAAUUGCCUAGAGAGGAGCUCGCGUCUGAUUAGCUAGUUGGUGAGGUAAAGGCUCACCAAGGCGACGAUCAGUAGCUGUUCUGAGAGGAAGAACAGCCACACUGGGACUGAGACACGGCCCAGACUCCUACGGGAGGCAGCAGUGGGGAAUUUUCCGCAAUGGGCGAAAGCCUGACGGAGCAAUACCGCGUGAGGGAAGAAGGCCUUUGGGUCGUAAACCUCUUUUCUCAGGGAAGAAGUUCUGACGGUACCUGAGGAAAAAGCCUCGGCUAACUCCGUGCCAGCAGCCGCGGUAAUACGGAGGAGGCAAGCGUUAUCCGGAAUUAUUGGGCGUAAAGCGUCCGUAGGUGGCCUUUCAAGUCUGCGGUUAAAAACCAGAGCUCAACUCUGGGGGGGCCGUGGAAACUGAGAAGCUAGAGUACAGUAGGGGUAGAGGGAAUUCCCACUGUACGGCUGAAAUGCGUCCAGAUUGGGAAGAACACCGGUGGCGAAAGCGCUCUCCUGGGCUUGUACUGACCCUGAGGGACGAACCCUACCGGAGCGAAUGGGAUUA
RNAcentral lists this ribosomal RNA (595 nucleotides) under Aulosira terrestre. Its description in RNAcentral is "bacterial SSU rRNA". It matches the Rfam family "Bacterial small subunit ribosomal RNA", at positions 152 to 780 of the family's 1533-position model. The record is from RNAcentral. Lineage: Bacteria; Bacillati; Cyanobacteriota; Cyanophyceae; Nostocales; Fortieaceae.